CCUACGGGAGACAGCAGCAAGGAAUAUUGUGCAAUGGGCGAAAGCCUGACACAGCGACGCCGCGUGGGGGAAGAAGGCCUUCGGGUCGUAAACCCCUUUUCUCAGGGAAGAAUAAUGACGGUACCUGAGGAAUAAGUCACGGCUAACUACGUGCCAGCAGCUGCGGUAAUACGUAGGUGGCAAGCAUUAUCCGGAUUUAUUGGGCGUAAAGGGGGUGUAGGCGGUUCAGUAAGUCGGAUGUGAAAUCUCCCCGCUAAACUGGGAGGGGUCAUGCGAUACUACUGGACUAGAGGGCAGCAGAGGGAGGUGGAAUUCCCGGUGUAGCGGUAAAAUGCGUAGAGAUCGGGAGGAACACCAGUGGCGAGGGCGGCCCCCGGGGCUGUUACUGACGCUGAGACCCAAAAGCGGAGGGAGCAAACAGGAUUAGAUCCCCUGGUAGU
RNAcentral lists this ribosomal RNA (440 nucleotides) under uncultured Dehalococcoidaceae bacterium. Its description in RNAcentral is "partial 16S ribosomal RNA". It matches the Rfam family "Bacterial small subunit ribosomal RNA", at positions 338 to 794 of the family's 1533-position model. Lineage: Bacteria; Bacillati; Chloroflexota; Dehalococcoidia; Dehalococcoidales; Dehalococcoidaceae. The record is from RNAcentral.